This is a non-coding RNA of Elgaria multicarinata webbii, 403 nucleotides long. The record is from the annotation of a RefSeq genome assembly. NCBI's taxonomy places the organism in Eukaryota, Metazoa, Chordata, Lepidosauria, Squamata, Anguidae.
UCAAUUAAAUAACUUGGGUUUUAUCUCUUGCAUUCUACUGUUCACAAUGAUAUGGCUGUUACAUUCAAUCAUCUUCCUAAAAACUUUGUCACUGACCAGUUCACAAGUUGUUCUCACUCAGUCAGGACCAGAACUGAAAAAAACUGGAGACUCCAUCAGGCUCACCUGUGCGGUGCAAGGAUUUCAGCUUGACAACCAUUACAUGGAUUGGGUCCGAGAGGCCCCAGGAAAAGGGCUGGAAUGGCUGGUUCAUUAUCGGAUUCCAAUUUAUGGUGUCUACAAUCCAGCCAUCCAAGGGCGAUUUACUGCCUCCAAGGACAGCUCUAACUUUUAUCUCGACAUGAACUGCCUGAAGGUAGAAGACACAGCCAUGUAUUACUGUUCUGCAGAGACACAGUGGUGA